Molecule: unclassified non-coding RNA, 1608 nt
Filed under: Hevea brasiliensis (rubber tree)
Lineage: Eukaryota; Viridiplantae; Streptophyta; Magnoliopsida; Malpighiales; Euphorbiaceae
Source: RNAcentral
GUGCUAUACCUCUCCUUCUCCAACAUUUUAAACUUUCUCGCUCCUAGUUUCCAGCUAUCCAACUCUGUCUAGGCGUGUUUAUAAAUAUAUAGAUUCCGAUCCUACAUGUGUAGUUUCAGUUUUUCAAGGAAGAAAGAGAAGCUGCAUGAGUUUUUGGAUACUCAUUUUGAGUAGAACUCUACUGAGAUCCUAUAUUUAGCACACAAGAUUUCUUAGUCUUAUAGUUUUAAGCCCAGGAAGAAGCGGUAGUGUAUGGAGAAUAUGGAUAAAUAUGAGCUGGUGAAGGAUUUGGGAGCUGGGAAUUUUGGGGUAGCAAGGCUUUUGAGGCACAAGGAAACCAAAGAGCUUGUUGCUAUGAAAUACAUCGAGCGAGGUCAUAAGAUAGAUGAGAAUGUGGCAAGAGAGAUCAUAAAUCACAGAUCACUGAGGCAUCCGAAUAUAAUCCGUUUCAAGGAGGUGGUUUUGACUCCCACUCAUUUAGCCAUUGUAAUGGAGUAUGCAGCUGGCGGAGAACUAUUUGACAGAAUCUGUAGUGCUGGUAGAUUUAGUGAAGAUGAGGCUAGAUAUUUCUUUCAGCAGCUGAUUUCUGGUGUGGAUUAUUGUCACUUCAGGCAAAUCUGCCAUAGAGAUUUGAAACUGGAAAAUACACUGUUAGAUGGAAGUCCUGCCCCUCGCUUAAAAAUAUGUGAUUUUGGAUACUCUAAGUCAUCGUUGCUGCAUUCGAGGCCAAAAUCAACUGUAGGAACUCCCGCAUACAUAGCACCAGAGGUUCUCUCUCGGCGAGAAUAUGAUGGCAAGUUGGCAGAUGUAUGGUCAUGUGGUGUUACACUCUAUGUGAUGCUGGUGGGAGCCUACCCUUUUGAAGAUCAAGAUGAUCCUAAGAAUUUUAGGAAAACAAUUCAGGUCAUUAUAUUCCCUUUUCUGAAUUUGGAUUCAAAGGAUCCAUGAGUUCUUUGUUUCCAUAAUAAUUUCCUCCAUUUCUUCUGCAGAAAAUAAUGGCUGUACAGUACAAAAUCCCCGACUAUGUUCAUGUGUCUCAGGACUGCAGACACCUUCUCUCUCACAUAUUUGUUGCGAAUCCUUUCAGAAGAAUCACUAUUAAAGAGAUCAAAAGGCACCCAUGGUUCUUAAAGAAUUUGCCCAAGGAACUGACAGAGUCAAGCCAAGCCAUUUAUUAUCAGAGAGAUAACCUGAGCUACUCUGCUCAGAGUGAGGAGGAGAUUAUGAAAAUUGUGUCUGAGGCGAAAAACCGACCACAAUCAUCUGUGCCUGUUAAGGGCUUCUGUUGGGGAGCACAAGAUGAAGAGAAUGAAGAAAUAGAUGAAGAAGUGGAUGAAGAUGAAAUAGAUGAUGAAGAUGAAUAUGACAAGAGGGUCAAGGAGGUCCAGGCAAGUGGAGAGUACCAAAUCAGUUAAGUGGUGCAGUCUUUGUUUCACUAUUAGUUAAUCAAUUAGCAGUCUGAAUCUCACAGAACUGCACUUUGUGUACAAUAAUAGGCAAUAAAUUAGUAGAUUUUAGAUUUUGAAUGCUUUAACUUGUAAUUUGUUCAUGUAAUGUACGAUUUAUUUCACCAUGGGCUUCAAACCUACGAGAAAUGAUGGAUGGCAG